CCUACGGGUGGCAGCAGUGAGGAAUAUUGGUCAAUGGACGAGAGUCUGAACCAGCCAAGUAGCGUGAAGGAUGACUGCCCUAUGGGUUGUAAACUUCUUUUAUAUGGGAAUAAAAUGUUCCACGUGUGGGAUUUUGUAUGUACCAUAUGAAUAAGGAUCGGCUAACUCAGUUCCAGCAGCCGCGGUAAUACGGAGGGUCCGAGCGUUCACCGGAUUUAUUGGGUUUAAAGGGAGCGUAGGUGGAUUGUUAAGGCAGUUGUGAAAGUUUGCGGGUCAACCGUAAAACUGCAGUUGAAACGGGCAGUCUUGAGUACAGUAGAGGUGGGCGGAAUUCGUGGUGUAGCGGUGAAAUGCUUAGAUAUCACGAAGAACUCCGGUUGCGAAGGC
RNAcentral lists this ribosomal RNA (387 nucleotides) under uncultured bacterium. RNAcentral's name for it is "partial 16S ribosomal RNA". It matches the Rfam family "Bacterial small subunit ribosomal RNA", at positions 338 to 722 of the family's 1533-position model. The record is from RNAcentral.